Long non-coding RNA from Sphaeramia orbicularis (orbiculate cardinalfish), 111 nucleotides. RefSeq lists it as uncharacterized. The record is from RefSeq and is a predicted model, not a curated record. The transcript is spliced from 3 exons. Lineage: Eukaryota; Metazoa; Chordata; Actinopteri; Kurtiformes; Apogonidae.
UCACUGUUACUAUACAUUUUUAUGAGGAUUCUUUGGACAUGGAUAGAGUCCAUUCAGAAUAUGAAUCUCAUUUGUGGGUUUUACCACAGGUUGUGACACACGGCGCCUGUU